AUCCCAUGAUGAGGAUGGGUGAUGGCGUACUCCUGCAGCCUUUCGCAAGCUUCAAGAAUGGUUUCAUCCCUCGUCUGCUGCAAGCUAGAUAUUCUUCUUCGAAGAGC
Oryza nivara is the source of this 107-nucleotide non-coding RNA. The record is from Rfam. Lineage: Eukaryota; Viridiplantae; Streptophyta; Magnoliopsida; Poales; Poaceae.